UACGGAGGGGGCUAGCGUUGUUCGGAAUUACUGGGCGUAAAGCGUACGUAGGCGGAUCAGAAAGUUGGGGGUGAAAUCCCGGGGCUCAACCUCGGAACUGCCUUCAAAACUAUUGGUCUUGAGUUCGAGAGAGGUGAGUGGAAUUCCGAGUGUAGAGGUGAAAUUCGUAGAUAUUCGGAGGAACACCAGUGGCGAAGGCGGCUCACUGGCUCGAUACUGACGCUGAGGUGCGAAAGCGUGGGGAGCGAACAGG
This 253-nucleotide ribosomal RNA is filed under the name uncultured bacterium. RNAcentral's name for it is "partial 16S ribosomal RNA". It matches the Rfam family "Bacterial small subunit ribosomal RNA", at positions 524 to 776 of the family's 1533-position model. The record is from RNAcentral.